Molecule: long non-coding RNA, 5286 nt
Organism: Ailuropoda melanoleuca (giant panda)
Lineage: Eukaryota; Metazoa; Chordata; Mammalia; Carnivora; Ursidae
Exons: 2
Source: RefSeq, a predicted model, not a curated record
CAGGUCUAUAAAUAAAUUCAAGAAAAAAAUGAAUUAUUUACCAGUCACAUUACUCCAUAACAAGAGUUAACCUACUGUUAAAAGACGACACUUAACACACAAAUGACGCACAAACUUAGCAGUACCUGUUGGUCUCCACUAUUUCAUUUACUUUAUCUAUUUUGCAGUGUAGUCUCCCUGCAGCAAUAAAUCUGGAGAGCUCCCUACAAUUAAGAGGAGGGGGGGAAAAGGGCAUUAGUAUGAGCCUUAUACAAAAUUCUUACACUGCACUAAAUACAUGUUUCCACUGUCUCUCAAGGUAACAUUCAGUUGGCUUCCAGCCUGUGCAGAGGCUGAGAAGCUCGUCGCUGGCUGACUGCAGGAUCAUCCCAGAAGAUUAAAUCACUUACUGGAAUAAACGACACUUAAAUAGUUCCAUCUCCACAGGGAGCUGCUAAUCCAUUUGCAACUAUUAUUCUGGGACUGAGGUUCACAAAAAAAAUUAUACAAGAUUUAAAGCAGGGGGAAACCUCCACCAGAGACGAACUCUGACUCAAGGAUGCCCUCUGCUGGGUUUCGGACAGACUGCUCCAUCCAAAGAGCCUGACUGCCGGCAGGCCUAAGCUGACAGUGCUGCUGCUGCCCGUGCCGGCAUUGCCGGACCUGAGGCCCUGACACUUACCCUCUGCCCAGACUACCCGACGAGACUCCACACAAGCUGCUAACUCCCUAGCCUGGCACUUAAAGCACUGCUUGUCUCAGUUCCUGUACAGACUGCCACACACUCCAUCAAAGUACACAGUAGGCUACUGGGCUCAAAAACAUGCUCCUACAGGGAACUGUGCUAUUUCUUCCACGGGGGAAAGCACUUUUUUCCUUACCUUCUUACAAAAAUCUUAAAAAACGCAGCGCCAUCCAGUCUAAAGGCCCACCAGAAGGCGUCUGGGGAUGUGUCCAUUUCUCAGGCACUUCAAUCAAAUACGACUCCUAGGUAUGCUCAUUCUGAACUAUAUGCAUCAAGAAUAAUCUGGGCGCAGCUUCUUUCCUGGUUACAACAAAAUUUAACUCCCAAUGUCCUAUGUUUCCAUUGAAGUCCCAUUGCCGGCUUUAGAGCCAAACCACUUGUCCUCUCCCUACGUGCCAUCAAACAUCCCAGGAUGACUCAUCUUCUCCAGCCGUGGGUAUUUCUCCAAGCCCCGAGCAUGGUGGCUCAUACACAGAAGAUAUGCGGUAGUGAUGAACCAAGUAUUUACUGAACACACAACCUACCAAUCAGAUUUGCAUUCCAUGUUUCAAACAGAAGACCUACCAACAAAUUGUGUCACACAGUGCAUGGGUUUCUACCUUAAACCUGGCAGUAGUGUCUCCUCAAAUAAUGGCCCCUUCCUAUUCUCCCAACAGUAUCUUCCUGAGUCUAAGGAAGUAGAGAAGUGGAAGAAUAGUGAAGAAUUACGUUCAAACUUACCAAAUCAGACCCUCCUUACCUGAAAUGAUUUUUAUAAGGGAGGAAAAAAAGAAUCUGGGAAAACGCAGAUGUGAACUGGGUAUCCAAAAUUUCAAACAAGGUCUUUCUAGGUAACAGCUAGAGCUCUACGUAUACAUACAACUUUUGCCUUUAGAGCUGGUCUGCAAACAUGAAGGAAAAGAACCUGAAAUACCACCUGAAAUGUACCACGUCUGGAAUGCAGAGGUCAUCCGAAUGAGUUGUAAGAAUGCUGCAGUGUGUCUAAAUGACACGUUCCUGCUCUAGUGCAUCUUACCCACAACUUCAUGUGAGCCUCAGAUGGCCCCAAGUAGUGAAAGCUGUAUCACCUCCAAGGGACAGUUAAGAAACCGAGGAAGGGACAGAACCAGACCAAGGUCGCAGGACUAUUCAAUGGCAGAGCUAGAACAAGGAGCCAAGCCAACCCUGUUCUUCAUGCACUGCUCACAGUAAGCCACUCGUUCCACUGAGUCAUGAGAAUCAGACUCAUAAUGGCCAUCCCCUCAUCCCAGUAACCAGCUCUCCCAGGCAGUGGUAACCACACUUGAAUUUCAAAGAAUAGUUCAGUUCCAAGAUAAAACCAGCCUAGGAGGACCAGCCUUUUAUUUUGGUAAGGAAAAUUUUUAAGAUGCAAAACUAUCACUGCCUUUUUUCUUUCAAAGGAAGAGAAUAAGGGGAUUUCUGGUGGUGAUGGCUCAAUAGUUCAAGUUAUACUUAAGAUCUGUACCUCUCAUCAAAUGUAAAUAUGUAAAACUCAAAACAAGCCUAUAAGCAGAUAUUGGGAUGAAAUGUACUGGAUCCAAAACUUACUUUGAAAUGGUUAAAAUAUAGGAUGGGCAGAUAUGUGAUAAAGCAGAUAAAACAAUUAUAGGAUCAAUCACCUAUGGGAAUUCACUGUAAUUCCUUAGAAUUUCCUACAUGUUUGAAAUUUUUCAUAAUAAAUUAGAAAAAUCAAACCCCUAAAAAGAUAAUUUUUUUUUAAAAUGAAAUCUGUCAUCACUGAACUUUACUAUAUAACUAUCUUUUUCACCGUGGGCCACUGAAAACUACACCAGCACUUAACAGAUCUUUGGGAACCACAGAUCUAGGUACCAUGAGGACAGCACAUACUCUGAAUGUAUACGUCUCCCACACUCCACUCUCACCACCCUCGUCCAAGCCACCGCAACAGCUCCUCCAGGAGCUACUGUACUCAACAGCCCACCGAGUCUCCUGUCAUCUUGCAGUCUGUGAAGAUACGGCUUCAUGCUCUAGGACUCUAAAGCGCUUAAAAUCCUCCAAUGGCCUCCUACAGGACCUAGAUUAAAACCCAAGCUCCAUACCAUGGCCACCAGGCCCUGCACAAGCGCACGAGUGCCUGAGUCUGCCACUACCACGCCACUGCAGCCACACGCAUCUUUUGGUUGCGUUUUAUUAUCUCCAAUGAUUCAUUUCUAUCUGAAACUACCUUAUGUAUUUAUUUCUUACUUGCUAACUCUACCCGUACAAAAACCACCAAAUAUUAAAGUCCAUGACGACAAGGACCUUAAACAAUGCCAACCAUACAGUAAUGGUUUAGUAAGUAUUUGAUGAAUCAUUGAUUUAAGGGCUGAAAGUCCCAUCUUUAACAACUAAUGUGACCAGAACUGCAGCAGCAACCAAAAACAAUGAAGGCAUUAUCAGAGAAAAUAUAUAUGACCUUAAUGUGAGAUAUGGGAGAGCCACCUAGGAGUCACCACCAUAGUAGCAGUGUGGUCCACAAAGAAGGGACAGAGUACUGCUGUCACAACUGCUCUCAUACAUACCCUUUUGCAAAAUCACUUGACCACUCUACAACUCAGUAUCCCCAUCCAUUAAUAAAGGGCACAUCAUGAAGGCAGAGAUGACAGAUGAUUGUUCUGAUAAUAUUUAGAGAAAAAUUGUUACUUUUUUUUUAUAACUGAGGGAAGCAAAUGUAAAUGGAGAAAAUGUACAAGUUGAGACAUUAAAAGAUACUUUAAGAAAUAUGCAUUGACAUAAUAUUAUACUUACUGAUCAAUGAAUUCCACACCAACACCAAAGGCUUCUGCCAUAUAGCCAAGAGUUAAUGACCUGUAGGAUUCCAGCAGCUGGCUGUAUGCAUGAAUUCUCAUUUCUCUUACAUAGUAUCGAUAAUGAGGGGCAAAAAGCCAGUCCUUUUUCAUUUCCUGUUCCACAACAGCUGCAAUGAAUGAGAUGACAAAUAAUAAGAGAUAGAGCUCUUAGAAAUCACGAAGAAAGAUCGAAUGGUAAGAUGUACACUGAUGAGCAAUCCACACAAAUACAAAUUAUUUUACUAAAGAACUACUUUGUAUCACUGCUCUAAAUAGCGAGGAUAUGGCAGUAAACCAAAAGACAAGAUCCCUGCUGCCACAGAAACUAAAUUUUCAGAGCAGAGAUGAAUAAACAAGAUACUUUUAGUAACAAAUUCUAUGUAGAAAAUAAGAGUGACAGGGCAGCUAGGAGGCCUUCCGCUGGAUUGGGGUAGAUAGGGAAGACCUCUCUGAGGAGCCAGCCAAACAGCGGGAGGCACAGAGCAAUGCAAACAAUGCAGAACUCCCACAGCAGGAAGAGCCAGGCUCGGCCCCAGAAUAGAAAGGACAGAUUCAGUAUAAAGCAGCAAGGGGGCAGCUACAGGGAUAUGGAAGGCGAGCAACACAAAAUAAUAAAAAAUACACUUGUGUCUCUGGCUUUAACAAGAAGCAAAUCCCUGGAGAAAAUCUGUGUUUUGUUUUCUGGUUUUGGAGAUUUUUUGGAGGGGGUAGGGCAAGGGAGAUUCACAGUGUUCAAGUGGAUUCAGCUAUUGUACAUGCAAAUGAAGAUACCAAGGAGAUAUUUAGGCACGGGUCUGGCGCUCACUGGAAAGUUGGGGGCUGGAAACAUGAAUCUGGGAAUCACUACCAUCCAGAUAAAUUUGAUGACAGAAUGAAGAUAGAGACAAGGGCAAUGACCGGGUCUGAGGCAGUCACUGAGAGGUCUAACGAAGGAUGAGGUGGCAGGUCCGGGGAAAAGAAGGGUGUGUUAUUGUUCAAGAGAACAAAAUUGUGGCAAGAUGCAAAGGCUGCUCAACAUCAAAAGAGAGAAGGAUGAGCAAGGCAACACAUGGCCGAGCAACACGGAAAUCGAUGGCCUCAAAAUGGGAUGAUGCUCAUUCUCACAAAUAAUGAACGAAAUGCAGUAAACAUCAAGUCGUUAUGUUGUACAGCUUAAAAUUAUACAGUGUCGUAUGUCAGAUCUCAAUAAAACUGCAAAAAAACACAGCAAGAAAACCUAUGCAAGAGAAUGGGAAGAAAAAUGUUGGUCAGGAUGGGUCACAUUCAUAACCCAAACAUAAAAUAUCUUCUAUCAUUUAUGUGCCAUUUAAGAGAAGACUCAAGAGUUCAAUAAAAACUGUCCUCGGAAACAAGAAAUGAAUAAAAUAGGAAUAUAAUUAUUUUUCUCAGACUGGCUAAGAGUACGGUGGGGGAAAGGCUCUCUUCAAAUGAUGUAAAUUGAGGGGUGCCUGGCUGGCUCAGUCAGAGGAGUGUGCAACUCUUGAUCUUGGGGUCACGAGCUGAGCCCCAUGAUGGGUGUAGAGAUUACUUAAAAAUAAAAUCUUUUAAAAAAAAUUGAUGUAAAUUAAGAGAAGUAGAAACUGUGAAACUAUACAUAAAUCAGCACAGGGCAUAUAGUCAGGAAUGUAUUAACUUUGUACGGUGACAGACGGUAAACUAGAUUUAUAUGGGCAUCAUUUUAUAAUGUACAUAAGCAUCAAAUCACUAUGUUGUACACCUGAAACCGACACUGUAUCUCAGUUAUACCUCAAUAAAAAAAAUUGUGUAAAUAUA